Small nucleolar RNA from Silurus meridionalis, 205 nucleotides. RefSeq annotates it as small nucleolar RNA SNORA53. The transcript has a single exon. NCBI's taxonomy places the organism in Eukaryota, Metazoa, Chordata, Actinopteri, Siluriformes, Siluridae. The record is from RefSeq and is a predicted model, not a curated record.
CACACGCUCCUUAGAUCCACCUCUGGGGAAUCAAUCAGCUUUGGUGCUGCUGCUCUCUUGAGUUUUGCAGCUCCAGGGUGGAGGCUCCCAGCAGCUUUUCCGUCUGUACAGUUGGAGAUGUUUGAGUCGUUUGUGUGGGAGUGCAGUCUGCCUGCUCCUAUAGUCCAGUUCCUUCCACAGUAUGGACUUCACCAGGGUAGACAAG